GAUGAACGCUGGCGGCGUGCCUAAUACAUGCAAGUCGAGCGAACAGACGAGGAGCUUGCUCCUCUGACGUUAGCGGCGGACGGGUGAGUAACACGUGGAUAACCUACCUAUAAGACUGGGAUAACUUCGGGAAACCGGAGCUAAUACCGGAUAAUAUAUUGAACCGCAUGGUUCAAUAGUGAAAGACGGUUUUGCUGUCACUUAUAGAUGGAUCCGCGCCGCAUUAGCUAGUUGGUAAGGUAACGGCUUACCAAGGCGACGAUGCGUAGCCGACCUGAGAGGGUGAUCGGCCACACUGGAACUGAGACACGGUCCAGACUCCUACGGGAGGCAGCAGUAGGGACUCUUCCGCAAUGGGCGAAAGCUUGACGGAGCAACGCCGCGUGAGUGAUGAAGGUCUUCGGAUCGUAAAACUCUGUUAUUAGGGAAGAACAAAUGUGUAAGUAACUAUGCACGUCUUGACGGUACCUAAUCAGAAAGCCACGGCUAACUACGUG
This 497-nucleotide ribosomal RNA is filed under the name uncultured bacterium. Its description in RNAcentral is "partial 16S ribosomal RNA". It matches the Rfam family "Bacterial small subunit ribosomal RNA", at positions 28 to 507 of the family's 1533-position model. The record is from RNAcentral.